RNAcentral lists this ribosomal RNA (268 nucleotides) under uncultured prokaryote. RNAcentral describes it as "partial 16S ribosomal RNA". It matches the Rfam family "Bacterial small subunit ribosomal RNA", at positions 526 to 794 of the family's 1533-position model. The record is from RNAcentral.
CGUAGGGGCUAGCGUUAUCCGGAUUUACUGGGCGUAAAGGGUGCGUAGGCGGACUUUUAAGUGAGAUGUGAAAUACCCGGGCUCAACUUGGGUGCUGCAUUUCAAACUGGAAGUCUAGAGUGCAGGAGAGGAGAAUGGAAUUCCUAGUGUAGCGGUGAAAUGCGUAGAGAUUAGGAGGAACACCAGUGGCGAAGGCGGCUUACUGGACUGUAACUGACGCUGAGUCACGAAAGCGUGGGUAGCAAACAGGAUUAGAUACCCUGGUAGU